CCUACGGGUGGCAGCAGUGGGGAAUAUUGGACAAUGGGGGCAACCCUGAUCCAGCAAUGCCGCGUGUGUGAAGAAGGCCUGCGGGUUGUAAAGCACUUUCAGUAGGGAAGAAAAGCCUGGGGUUAAUACCCCCGGGUCUUGACGUUACCUAAAGAAGAAGCACCGGCUAACUCCGUGCCAGCAGCCGCGGUAAUACGGAGGGUGCGAGCGUUAAUCGGAAUUACGGGGCGGGUCGCGCACGUAGGAGGUGAAAGCCCCGGGCUUAACCUGGGAAUUGCAUUCGAUACUGCCUGACUGGAGUAUGGGAGAGGGAAGCGGAAUUUCCGGUGUAGCGGUGAAAUGCGUAGAUAUCGGAAGGAACAUCAAUGGCGAAGGCAGCUUCCUGGCCCAAUACUGACGCUGAGGUGCGAAAGCGUGGGGAUCAAACAGGAUUAGAUACCCCUGUAGUC
Molecule: ribosomal RNA, 449 nt
Filed under: uncultured bacterium
Lineage: Bacteria
Description: partial 16S ribosomal RNA
Rfam family: Bacterial small subunit ribosomal RNA
Source: RNAcentral